Small nuclear RNA from Heteronotia binoei (common prickly gecko), 160 nucleotides. RefSeq annotates it as U1 spliceosomal RNA. The transcript has a single exon. Lineage: Eukaryota; Metazoa; Chordata; Lepidosauria; Squamata; Gekkonidae. The record is from RefSeq and is a predicted model, not a curated record.
AUACUUACCUGGCAGGGGAGACACCUUGAUCACAAAGGAGGUUUUCCCAGGGUGAGGCUCAUCCAUUGCACUCCGGGUGUGCUGACCCCUGUGAUUUCCCCAAAUGCGGGAAACUCAACUUUGUGAAUUAUCAAAAUGCUCCCUUUGCUUAUUAGCUAGU